RNAcentral lists this ribosomal RNA (751 nucleotides) under Microchaete diplosiphon CCALA 811. RNAcentral's name for it is "bacterial LSU rRNA". It matches the Rfam family "Bacterial large subunit ribosomal RNA", at positions 913 to 1735 of the family's 2925-position model. The record is from RNAcentral. Lineage: Bacteria; Bacillati; Cyanobacteriota; Cyanophyceae; Nostocales; Rivulariaceae.
UUUCGGUGCGGGCUGGGAGACCGGUACCAAAUCGAGACAAACUCAGAAUACCCAGAGCACACAUUGCCAGUGAGACAGUGGGGGAUAAGCUUCAUUGUCAAGAGGGAAACAGCCCAGACCACCAGCUAAGGUCCCCAAAUCAUUGCUAAGUGAUAAAGGAGGUGAGAGUGCAUAGACAACUAGGAGGUUUGCCUAGAAGCAGCCACCCUUGAAAGAGUGCGUAAUAGCUCACUAGUCAAGCGCUCUCGCGCCGAAAAUGAACGGGGCUAAGCAAUGUACCGAAGCUGUGGGAUUAAUUAAUUAAUCGGUAGGGGAGCGUUCCGUGGUAGGGAGAAGCAGUAGCGGCAAGCAGCUGUGGACGAAACGGAAGUGAGAAUGUCGGCUUGAGUAGCGCAAACAUUGGUGAGAAUCCAAUGCCCCGAAACCCUAAGGGUUCCAGAGCCAGGUUCGUCCACUCUGGGUUAGUCGGGACCUAAGGCGAGGUCGAAAGGCGUAGUCGAUGGACACAGGGUUAGUAAUCCCUGACUAAGAUAUGGGAGCAUUGCUAGGGACGCAUGAAAGAAAGCUACACCCUGAUUGGUUUGGGAGGAGUUUACGAACUCCGAGUAGUGAAGGAUAGUGCCAAGAAAAGCUAGUAAUGUGAUGAACAUAUGUUACCCGUACCCGAAACCGACACAGGUAGGGAGGUUGAGAAUACCAAGGGGCGCGAGAUAACUCUCUCUAAGGAACUCGGCAAAAUGGCCCCGUAACU